This 267-nucleotide unclassified non-coding RNA is filed under the name Hevea brasiliensis (rubber tree). Lineage: Eukaryota; Viridiplantae; Streptophyta; Magnoliopsida; Malpighiales; Euphorbiaceae. The record is from RNAcentral.
UAGUUUCAUUUUCUUUACUGAUUCAAUUAACCAUAAUUUGUUUAAUUUAUCUGCAUUCCCAUGGACCUCUCUAUAUAUUCAUACUAACAGGGAGUCACUUCCCCUCGAAAGAAAAGAAAAGAAAAGAAAAAAGAAAUUAGUUUCAUUUUCUUUACUGAUUCAAUUAGCCAUAAUUAUGUUUAAGAACUUGUUUUUGUGUUUGUUGCUAUCUGCGCGAAGUAGCUGAUUCUUACAGCUUUUAUCGACACCAGAGAUAAAAGUAGGUCU